CUGGCGGCGUGCCUAACACAUGCAAGUCGAACGAGAAAGUGGAGCAAUCCAUGAGUAAAGUGGCGACCGGGUGAGUAACACGUGACUACCUGCCCUUGAGUGGGGGAUAACUUCGGGAAACCGAGGCUAAUACCGCAUAACAUCGCAAGAUCAAAGGAGCAAUUCGCUGAAGGAGGGGGUCGCGGCUGAUUAGCUAGUUGGUGAGGUAACGGCUCACCAAGGCGAAGAUCAGUAGCCGGCCUGAGAGGGCGCACGGCCACACUGGAACUGAAACACGGUCCAGACUCCUACGGGAGGCAGCAGUGGGGAAUUUUGCGCAAUGGGGGAAACCCUGACGCAGCAACGCCGCGUGGAGGAUGAAGUCCCUUGGGAUGUAAACUCCUUUCGAUCGGGACGAUUAUGACGGUACCGGAAGAAGAAGCACCGGCUAACUCUGUGCCAGCAGCCGCGGUAAUACAGAGGGUGCAAGCGUUGUUCGGAAUUAUUGGGCGUAAAGGGCGCGUANGCGGUGCGGUAAGUCUGUGGUGAAAUCUCCGAGCUCAACUCGGAAAU
RNAcentral lists this ribosomal RNA (552 nucleotides) under uncultured bacterium. Its description in RNAcentral is "bacterial SSU rRNA". It matches the Rfam family "Bacterial small subunit ribosomal RNA", at positions 36 to 621 of the family's 1533-position model. The record is from RNAcentral.